This is a long non-coding RNA of Medicago truncatula (barrel medic), 530 nucleotides long. RefSeq lists it as uncharacterized. The transcript has 3 exons. The record is from RefSeq and is a predicted model, not a curated record. Lineage: Eukaryota; Viridiplantae; Streptophyta; Magnoliopsida; Fabales; Fabaceae.
UUUUGGUACAAAAGUUCUUGUAACUCCAUAUGUGGUAAAAGUUUUAAUUGAUGUAAAAUAAGCUUUGAAUUUUUAAUAUAAAGUGAUCACAUAAUUGUAUAGUUCUAACUUCUACGAGAGAAAAAAAUAUGGCUGAAUUUCUUCAUAUGACCUAUGUUAUGAUCAUCUUCAUAUUUCUAUUUCUCUCUCUUAUCGACGCCGAAGUUCAUAGAUGUAUUGAAUAUACUGAUUGUCCAGAGGAUAUGUGUCACCUUCCUCUUGUUGUGGUAUGCCAUGAUCAUAUUUGUAAAUGUCUUCGAUUGCCUUAGAAGGUUAGUUUGCUAUUUGAAGAUAUGGAGAAGUACAACGUCACUUUUCUACUUCAAUGAAUCAAAGAAAUACGGUUAUGUAAAAAUAAUCAUUUCUUGUAUGUAUGAAAUUUAUUGUAAGAAUGAUGUGUAUUAUAAAGUGAACCUGUAUUAGUUAGUUUGUAUUUUAAAUAAAAAAGACUAAAGCGUUAAAUCUUAAUAAAUAAGAAACAUUUAUGGUAA